This 406-nucleotide ribosomal RNA is filed under the name uncultured bacterium. RNAcentral describes it as "partial 16S ribosomal RNA". It matches the Rfam family "Bacterial small subunit ribosomal RNA", at positions 29 to 526 of the family's 1533-position model. The record is from RNAcentral.
AUUGACCGCUGGCGGCAGGCCUAACACAUGCAAGUCGAACGAGUGGCGGACGGGUGAGUAAUGUCUGGGAAACUGCCUGAUGGAGGGGGAUAACUACUGGAAACGGUAGCUAAUACCGCAUACCAUCAGAUGUGCCCAGAUGGGAUUAGCUAGUUGGUGGGGUAACGGCUCACCAGGGCGACGAGCCCUAGCUGGUCUGAGAGGAUGACCAGCCACACGGGAAUUGAGCGACGGUCCAGACUACUAUGGUAGGUAGCGGUGGGGAAGAUGGCACAAUGGGCGCAAGGCUGAUGCAGCCAUGCCGCGUGGAUGAAGAAGGCAUUCGGGUGGUAAAGUACUUUCAGCGGGGAGGCGUUACCCGCAGAAGAAGCACCGGCUAACUCCGUGCCAGCGGCCGCGGUAAUAC